RNAcentral lists this ribosomal RNA (305 nucleotides) under uncultured bacterium. RNAcentral describes it as "bacterial SSU rRNA". It matches the Rfam family "Bacterial small subunit ribosomal RNA", at positions 337 to 634 of the family's 1533-position model. The record is from RNAcentral.
GCCUACGGGGGGCAGCAGUAGGGAAUCUUCCACAAUGGGCGAAAGCCUGAUGGAGCAACGCCGCGUGGGUGAAGAAGGUCUUCGGAUCGUAAAACCCUGUUGUUAGAGAAGAAAGUGCGUGAGAGUAACUGUUCACGUUUCGACGGUAUCUAACCAGAAAGCCACGGCUAACUACGUGCCAGCAGCCGCGGUAAUACGUAGGUGGCAAGCGUUAUCCGGAUUUAUUGGGCGUAAAGAGAACGCAGGCGGUCUUUCAAGCCUGAUGUGAAAGCCUUCGGCUUAACCGGAGUAGUGCAUUGGAAACU